ACCAGGCCUUGGGCAUGUGAUCCUGUGGGAAACACUUCAUAUUCAAACCAUACAAAGUUGUUCUUUGAUUUUUCUUAAGCAGAUGAAGAGCGCAGAGAGCCGCCACCCGGUGAGCUCCCAGUACAGGAUGCACUCGUACUACGGGCCUCCCUCCUACCUGGGCCAGAGCAUGUCCCAGAUCUUCACCUUUGAGGACGGCCCCUCCUACUCAGAAGCCAAAGCAAGCGUGUUCUCACCGCCCAGCAGUCAAGAUUCUGGCUUGGUUUCCCUCUCCAGCAGCUCUCCGAUGAGCAACGAGAGCACCAAGGGAGUUCUGGAAUGCGAGUCUGCACCUUCUGAGCCCAGCAGCUACACUGUCAACCAGGUCCUGGAAGAGGAUGAGGACGAGUGAGCCGCCGGUCGGUCGACUCGGUGUCCACAGGGUAGUAGAAGGCUUGUUCUGUUAUCGGCAGGGUUUGUUAUUUGUCUUUUUCCGUUCAGAAGUUUUGGUUCAUAUUCCUUAGAGUUAGAUUAAAACACUUGUAACAGUGUAGGGUUCCUGACUACCAACUGCAAGAAUUAAGUGCCUGGCUCACCAAGUUUAAACUAUAGUUGAAUCUCUCCCCUUACCCACUCCCCCCCACAUACAACUAAUUGACUAUUGGCCCAAGUUAGUCAUAAUUGCUUGCUACUUUUGGAGUUAAAAUGAAAUCUUAAGUGCCUUCGAUUAUUACAAAGUUUUCAGGAUUUUAACAAAACCAAGAAAUAUAAAUUUAGCCAAGUACUUGACCAGAGAGAAGAGCAGGCAAAAUUACUUAAGAAAUAUGCAGGAAGUAAAUGGGAACGACACUGUUUCUGUGUUGCUGUUGGAAAUAGCUGUAUCACACACUCCAAAUCUAAACAUAACUGAAAUACAGUGAGAGAAAACUGUUACUAUUUUCCCCAGUAAAGGGUAACUUAAAAGCAAUACAACAUGAAGUAACCUGGAGAGGUAUUUCCUGGGUGGUGUUCCUAGAAUGAGUUUAAUAUGUACAUUUUCUUUACUACAGGGGAAAAGUGGAUGCAAUCUAGAUGAUUUUGUAACCUUAGGUUGUAAUCUGAGUUGAAAAUAAGUACAUCUUUAAAAGUUACCACUGAAAUUUGAGUUCAUUAUUUUGUUAAAAAUUGCUUUUGGAGUACUUCCUUAUGUAACAGAAGCCAUCCUGAAAUGAAACUAGUCUAAAAAAAUUAAUUGUGGUGUGUGGUUGCAGCUGUACCUGAAAUAAAAACGUUAUUGAUGACUGCAUUUUCUUGUGUGUAUAUUUGGGGAGCC
Molecule: long non-coding RNA, 1291 nt
Filed under: Cricetulus griseus (Chinese hamster)
Lineage: Eukaryota; Metazoa; Chordata; Mammalia; Rodentia; Cricetidae
Description: lncRNA (ENSCGRG00000025108.1)
Source: RNAcentral